Molecule: long non-coding RNA, 1214 nt
Filed under: Rattus norvegicus (Norway rat)
Lineage: Eukaryota; Metazoa; Chordata; Mammalia; Rodentia; Muridae
Description: long non-coding RNA NONRATT027089
Source: RNAcentral
UCUCUCACACACACACACACACACACACACACACACACACACCAUGUGCCUCCUCACUGUGUUCCCCAGACCCCAACCCCACAUCCAGUGUCAAAGCAAAAAUUCACACACGAGAACAACCUACCCUGCCAUGCAGACAGAGGGAGAUGCGCAGUUCCAAAAGUCCUCAGCACGCCUUCCCUUUCUGAGUGAGUGGGGGAGGGAGGCGUCUUUGAGAGACUAUCUCCUGCUAUCUUUGAGGUCAGUGAAAAAGCAGGCCUUCUUGGAUGGAAGAUCUCCCUGUGUGGAAGAAAUGUUUGCAGAAUACUCUCCAGAGCAAGUACCAACCGGGUCAGGCCUGCGCCCCAGAGUGAGUUGAGGGAGCGCUCAGGUUUCCCCUUUCCCUUCCCCAGAGUGGCAAGGGCCAGAUCAGACAAAUGAGAACCAGGCUAAGCAUUUCCUAGCAACCUCGCCCCUCCCCCAACUCCAUGUGAGAGCCCUGCUCCUCCAGCAUUAACCGGCCUCCUGCCUGUCUUUGCUACCCUGACACCGGCCUGCUCUGAAGGUUCUCUGCUGGAACUCUCUGGGAACUGGAGGGCAUGCUGAGGAAGGCUCUAUAGCUUCCUGUCUUGUGUCUGGAAGAGGAACCUUCUCUUCCCAGGUCAGCUGCAAGACAGACCACCUGCUAGGCCAGCCCAGAAGUUCAGGGAGGCCUUGGACCCCAUGGCUCAGAUAUGCGGACCAGUUAACGUGCAGGGAGAUCAGAGCAUCUUCCAAACUGGGCAGAAAAACAGCACCUUGUCCUUCCUCAGCCCUGCCCAAGGCCCAGCAGAUUCCAAACCAUAACAGAUAAAGGCCUAGAGACACAGGGAAAGGUCCUACAAGCACCUCUCUGUGGAGAGCUCUCUAUGCUCUGGUCAAGUACUUGGACUUCUUCCCAGGAAGUGAGACCUGGGGUCAGGUCACCCAAACAAGACUCGUGGGUGAGAGGUAAUGUCAGUGUGGCUGACCAAGAAAGGGCUAAGGGGACUGGGGGAUCAAGUCAAAAAACAAAAAAAAACAAAAAAAAAAAAAAAAAAAAACAAACCAACUUCCAUUUUAUUUUCUUGGCGGGUUCUCUUUUUUUCCAGACUGUUAACAGAAAAAAAAAAUUUUAAAAAGAAGAAACCUAAAAACAAAACAAAACGACGAGAAAACAAAAUCCUGGUACAUGAAAUAAAGAUUUUUUUUUUAUA